Morone saxatilis (striped sea-bass) is the source of this 199-nucleotide small nucleolar RNA. RefSeq annotates it as small nucleolar RNA SNORD17. Lineage: Eukaryota; Metazoa; Chordata; Actinopteri; Moronidae. The record is from RefSeq and is a predicted model, not a curated record. The transcript has a single exon.
GUGAAGUGAUGAAUCAGUUUAUCCAUUCUCUGAGCGGCCAUCUUGUCGCAGUCCCUGCCCUGCUCCCGUUCUGGGGGCGGGGCCUCUCCACUGUGGCGCCGGCGUCGUCCUGGCGUUCUGCUGGGACGACAACCCGACGCCGCGCGGAGAGAACGACCCGACUCGAGCGCCGCGAAGACGAUUUACACGUUCUGAUCAC